GCGUGUUGCUACACCCGCUGAGCCCCUGUGAACUCGCGGCGUGGCCGCUGUCGUUGCCUCGGCCAGAUGCCCCAGGGCGGGGCCCCAGGCCUGGGCGACCAGGCGCUGGCCGGCGGCGCGCGAACUUCUAGAUACCGAACGUGGGGUGCUCUGAGUGACCGAUAGCUGAAUCGAUAAA
RNAcentral lists this unclassified non-coding RNA (178 nucleotides) under uncultured fungus. RNAcentral describes it as "sequence contains ITS1". The record is from RNAcentral. Lineage: Eukaryota; Fungi.